AUUCAAACAGGCUACUGCUAUUAAGGAUUGCACAACUUCUGGGCAAGGCAGAGGUGGGUUUGGCUUUUUAAAAAUUUUUUCAGCCUGUCCUCAUGGAACUACAUAUUCUUUUCUAAGAACUUUUCAUCCUAACCUCCCUACUCACAUCUUCUAAGUGUCUCUGCUCUGGUGGGAAUGUGAUGGACAACACAGAGCCAUCUCAGAAGCCUCUGUGGCCACCACCAGGCCGGCCAGGGUGCAGGGGGCCACUCCCUGGGCAGCCAUAGGGUUCUCAGCAAGGUGCAUUCGUCGUCCCUGCUGAGAAUCUGAUGGGGCAGCAUUUUUUUUUUUAAUUAAAUGCAAGCUGAGUCAUUUCAACCUGCAACCUUCAGGUAACAGGAGUUACCCAAGCUCCAGGAAUUAUGAUUGUGGGGUAAACCCAUUCUCUUGUUUUCUUGCGGUUCUAUUUUAUAACGCACUAGAGGAGACAGAGACGUCAUUGCUUCACCCAGGGCAAGAGGACAAAGGAGGAUGCAUGGAAAUACAAACAGCCCUUCUCCUCCAGGCCAUACCGACUGUCCAACUAGCAACAGACUUCACCUGGUUUUGGAGCAAUCUGAAUUUGGAAUAUGCCAGAGAAAACUUCUAUCAGGCACGAUGGUAAGAGUCCAGUGGAUGGAAAAGGCCUCCUCCUUAAAGAUGGUGAUGGAAACGAGCACUGCACAGGGAAACACAAAUCAGGUCCCCUGAAAUCCAGCCCAACCUGGCCAGACCCUCCAGUGCCCAUCAGGGCUUAUGAACAGGGUGCUUCAGUGUCUUUGUUAGGGGUGGUUAAAAAGGAGCACGUGCUUAUAGGGGAUGCUGCUGAGCUCCAUGAUUUUGACUUCCUGUCUAACCUGUUGAUGCUACAAAACUCUUUUAAAAACAGUUACCAUGGGAACUUUUCCCUAGCAAGCAUUCUUCAAGAAACGUUACAGGUGCUGGUGAAUUCAAUGCCCUUGGUGUCAAUAAGCUUUUGCUGAGUCUUAGAAUGUGUGGCUUGAACUGAGAGGACUUUCAAACAGAUAAUGCGAAGUUUCCAAUGCAAAUGUCUUCGGGGUUAAGUGUCAGUGAAGUGCAGUGGAAGGUAGGGGGAUAAAAUGAUCUCAGUGUAUAUGGAGGCCCCACUUAAGCAUUCAAAAAAUUCUAUAUACAGUGUUUUCAAUGUAUUAUGUAUCAGCAAAACAAAAUACCCCAUAGGGCUAUAAUCAGCUCAGGGGGUCACCUCAGCAAGAGAUGCUCUGGCUAUCACUCCUACUACGGGAUUUCCUCUCUCAUCAGAACCAGUAGGUGGUCAAAACCACAAUAAUGCAUAAAUGAAGGCAGGGAAUUGGGUAUCCAAUGUGAGCAACUGAAAAGGUGCCAUGUAUUAGCUAUUUGCCAUUAUGGUUCUGCAAGUGCUCAGAUGACUCAUAAAAUGACCAGAACAAAAGUUUGUUCUUUUGUUUUUACUUUGAGAAGAUAAAGAAUCACGAAUUAGUAUUCAAGGUUACCUAAUACUAACCCUUGUCUACCACGUGACCUUGCAUUACAGGGAGCUGUUGUUGGGACAGGACAAGAGUCCACAUCCCCUGCCCAGUGCCUGGUUCUGGGUCAUGUCACCGAAGCGCAUCAGCCCAUCUGUCAGCCAAACCCCACUAGCCUUGUGCCUUCUCUUCUAAAUCCCCGCGGAGGAAAACAACUUCUGCCUUCUACAGUACGAACAGCGAGGGUCUGCUGGGAACCAAUACAACUUCGCGUCCCAGUGCAGCAAUGUUGCCAGGUAAGGACAGCCCCUGUCCUUCUGUAAGGAAGAGGAAGCGAAGGGAACUUCCCCCAGGCGCUGGUGGGAACAUCUUAGGAGGAAGGAACAUAGAAAUUGGCAAGGACUCGAAGGACGGAUAUGAAAGUGCCGUGAGCCCUGCUGAGCCCCAUGUGUGCCAAAAAUUAAUUCAUAAGCAAAUGCUUAUUUUAUAGUUUCCCACUUGCUACAAAACAUCAAGCCACAAGGAAAUAUUUCUUCUGGGGGCUGACAGGAAGCGGGUGGCACCAGAGUGGGGAGAAAGAAAGCCGGAAGUUCUCUUCAAGACAAGCGUGAUCCUAUCACCUGACAACGUGUCACCCGUUUCUGGAAAAUCCACGGGCUGUGGUACUGUCUCCUUGUUCCCAUAAGCGGAGGGUUCAAUGUGAAGCCUGCUCUGAUGGCAGCCAGGUAGGAGAAGUCUGGGAGUCACGAUCUACCCUCAGAUGUUAUCACCAUUGCAGGAGCCGGGGCAGGAAGAAAAGAUGCUGGGAGACCUGGGGACACCACCCCUGGGAGUCCAUUAUGCCAGACUGGGAAGUAACCUGUAUUUGGCUUCCAGGCAUUUCAGGGCUUUAGGUGAUGAUGUGAUGGAUGACAGGGUUUCAUAAUAAGGGAGCAAACCCUCCAUGAGAGUGCCUAGCAAGCACUGUAUGUCAUUAUUUGUGGAUUCCCAUAAAUUGAAUCCUCUAGGGUCUGGACAAUGAAAUCUAGAAUUUCUGGAGUGCUGUGAUUCCCAGUGAGCUUAUCCUAAGGCAGGACUGAAUUUUCUUACAACAUCCAAAAGGAGAAAGACAAGAGUCAACACUUUUGCAAAGAAGGGAUUUAGUAUCCAGGGAGAUCCAAACUCCUCAACUGCAGAGACAAUGGUGUCUCCCUUUCCUGCAGCUGUAGCAUCCAGCUUGGGGGCCUGGCUGACCCAUGGU
RNAcentral lists this long non-coding RNA (2724 nucleotides) under Homo sapiens (human). RNAcentral describes it as "non-protein coding EGOT:17". Lineage: Eukaryota; Metazoa; Chordata; Mammalia; Primates; Hominidae. The record is from RNAcentral.